This 944-nucleotide ribosomal RNA is filed under the name uncultured bacterium. RNAcentral's name for it is "bacterial SSU rRNA". It matches the Rfam family "Bacterial small subunit ribosomal RNA", at positions 38 to 1013 of the family's 1533-position model. The record is from RNAcentral.
AGCAGUCGGCAGCUUACCAUGCAGUCGUGGGGCAGCAGGGGGGAACUUCGGUUCCCCUGCUGGCGACCGGCGGACGGGUGCGUAACACGUAGCUACUUGCCUUGCAGUGGGGGAUAACCCGGGGAAACCCGGGCUAAUACCGCAUACACCCGAGAGGGGAAAGGCCCGUAAGGGUCGCUGCAAGAUAGGGCUGCGGCGUAUCAGCUAGUUGGUGGGGUAACGGCCUACCAAGGCUAUGACGCGUAGCUGGUCUGAGAGGAUGAUCAGCCACACUGGAACUGAGACACGGUCCAGACUCCUACGGGAGGCAGCAGUGGGGAAUCUUGGGCAAUGGGCGAAAGCCUGACCCAGCAACGCCGCGUGGAGGAAGAAGCCCUUCGGGGUGUAAACUCCUUUUGCAGGGGAAGAGAGUGACGGUACCCUGCGAAUAAGCUCCGGCUAACUCCGUGCCAGCAGCCGCGGUAAUACGGGGGGAGCGAGCGUUACUCGGAAUUACUGGGCGUAAAGGGUGCGUAGGCGGCUUAGUAAGUUAGGAGUGAAAGCCUACGGCUUAACCGUAGGAUUGCUCCUAAAACUGCUAAGCUAGAGUCCGGGAGAGGCUGCGGGAAUUCCUGGUGUAGGGGUGAAAUCCGUAGAGAUCAGGAGGAAUGCCGAAAGCGAAGGCGCGCAGCUGGAACGGUACUGACGCUGAGGCACGAAAGCGUGGGGAGCAAACAGGAUUAGAUACCCUGGUAGUCCACGCCCUAAACGAUGGCCACUAGUGGUUGGGGGGAUAGUCCCCCAGUCACGCAGCUAACGCGAUAGUGGGCCCGCCUGGGGAGUACGGCCGCAAGGCUAAACUCAAAGGAAUAGACGGGGACCCGAACAAGCGGUGGAGCAUGUGGUUUAUUCGAAGAAUACGCGAAGAACCUUACCUGGGGCUUGACCAUCCCGGGGGAAUCUUC